CGGCACUUUGACAGAAGCCCCCUCCACCAUUCCUCCAUUACCAAGAAGCAACAAGCAUCCCAAUGCCGACGCUAAAACCGCCAUAUAAGGCAAAGGCGAAGGAAAAGAGAAGUGGGUGAGCCAGUGUACAUAUUGCCCGUGAUCGGUUUAACAUUUGUUUAUAAAGAAAUUAAGAGUUUGUCUUUAUGUUAUGGACUCUUUGUUGUUUGUUUUGUUUCUCUUAUUCUCAUUCACGUUCUUUAAAA
Molecule: long non-coding RNA, 245 nt
Organism: Erigeron canadensis
Lineage: Eukaryota; Viridiplantae; Streptophyta; Magnoliopsida; Asterales; Asteraceae
Exons: 2
Source: RefSeq, a predicted model, not a curated record